GACGAACGCUGGCGGCGUGCCUAAUACAUGCAAGUUGAGCGAUGAAGAUUGGUGCUUGCACCAAUUUGCAGAGCAGCGAACGGGUGAGUAACGCGUGGGGAAUCUGCCUUUGAGCGGGGGACAACAUUUGGAAACGAAUGCUAAUACCGCAUAACAACUUUAAACAUAAGUUUUAAGUUUGAAAGAUGCAAUUGCAUCACUCAAAGAUGAUCCCGCGUUGUAUUAGCUAGUUGGUGAGGUAAAGGCUCACCAAGGCGAUGAUACAUAGCCGACCUGAGAGGGUGAUCUGCCACAAUGGGACUGAGACACGGCCCAAACUCCUACGGGAGGCAGCAGUAGGGAAUCUUCGGCAAUGGACGAAAGUCUGACCGAGCAACGCCGCGUGAGUGAAGAAGGUUUUCGGAUCGUAAAACUCUGUUGGUAGAGAAGAACGUUGGUGAGAGUGGAAAGCUCAUCAAGUGACGGUAACUACCCAGAAAGGGACGGCUAACUACGUG
Molecule: ribosomal RNA, 497 nt
Filed under: uncultured bacterium
Lineage: Bacteria
Description: partial 16S ribosomal RNA
Rfam family: Bacterial small subunit ribosomal RNA
Source: RNAcentral